Molecule: ribosomal RNA, 786 nt
Filed under: Triticum aestivum (bread wheat)
Lineage: Eukaryota; Viridiplantae; Streptophyta; Magnoliopsida; Poales; Poaceae
Description: partial small subunit ribosomal RNA
Source: RNAcentral
AUGCACCAGAAGCAUCCCAUUUCAGCGAUCACAGACGGCUACGUUUCAAUGGCCAAAGCCAUAUCAUCAGUCUGGCCUAGCACAUAUCACCGUCUGUGCAGCUGGCAUAUCGAGCAGAAUAUGGUGCUUCACCUCCGAAAGGAAAAGCUUAAGGAAUUUAGGAAAUUUAUUUACUAUGCCAUGGAGGUUCAUGAGUUUGAGAGACGCUGGUUGGCUUAUAAGAAGAGAUUCAGAAUCACAAGGAAAAAGAAAGAUGCAUGGAUUCACAGGAUGUACGAGCUGAGAGAAAAGUGGUCUGUAGCAUAUAACAAGGGAAGGUAUUUCCUAGGGAUGUUGAGCAAUCAGAGGAGUGAGUCUCUAAACUCGAGGCUUCAUGUGCACCUGAAUAGGAGAAUGAAACUCGUUGAUCUCGUGCAACACGUUGAACACUGUGUGUCAGUUUUGCGUAGGAAUGAAGCAGCAUUGGACGACGUAGCUUCGCACACAAUCUCCUUCACUAGAUUGACUGCCGAUCCACUUGAGAUAAGUGCCUCAUCUAUUUAUACCCCUGUUAUGUUCAGUAAGGUAAAGGACGAGAUUGUCAACUUAUCAAGAUGGAAUGUUCUUGAGGUGGAAGAGGACACUGGUUUGGUUAGCUAUGGAGUUGCUCGCAAAGAGUCGGUGCACGUUAGGUUCCAUGUCACAUGUAUUUUUGAUGGAUCUAAGAUGGAAAGUGCAUAUUGUGGAUGUAGGAAGAUGGAAAGCGAGGAUUUUCCAUGUGCUCAUAUAUUUUGCGUUUUGAAGUAG